RNAcentral lists this ribosomal RNA (484 nucleotides) under uncultured bacterium. RNAcentral describes it as "partial 16S ribosomal RNA". It matches the Rfam family "Bacterial small subunit ribosomal RNA", at positions 30 to 507 of the family's 1533-position model. The record is from RNAcentral.
AUUGAACGCUGGCGGAAUGCUUUACACAUGCAAGUCGAGCGGCAGCACGGGGGCAACCCUGGUGGCGAGCGGCGAACGGGUGAGUAAUACAUCGGAACAUGCCCAGUCGUGGGGGAUAACACUUCGAAAGAAGUGCUAAUACCGCAUACGUCCUGAGGGGGAAAGCGGGGGAUCGCAAGACCUCGCGCGAUUGGAGUGGCCGAUGUCAGAUUAGCUAGUUGGUGGGGUAAAGGCCUACCAAGGCAACGAUCUGUAGCUGGUCUGAGUGGAUGAUCAGCCACACUGGGGCUGAGACACGGCCCAGACUCCUACGGGAGGCAGCAGUGGGGAAUUUUGGACAAUGGGGGCAACCCUGAUCCAGCCAUUCCGCGUGAGUGAAGAAGGCCUUCGGGUUGUAAAGCUCUUUCGGCAGGAACGAAACGGUGAGCUCUAACAUAGCUUGCUAAUGACGGUACCUGAAGAAGAAGCACCGGCUAACUACGUG